This 255-nucleotide ribosomal RNA is filed under the name uncultured bacterium. RNAcentral's name for it is "partial 16S ribosomal RNA". It matches the Rfam family "Bacterial small subunit ribosomal RNA", at positions 524 to 776 of the family's 1533-position model. The record is from RNAcentral.
UACGUAGGGAGCAAGCGUUGUCCGGAAUCAUUGGGCGUAAAGCGCGCGUAGGUGGCUUCAUAAGUCCGUUGUGAAAGUCAAAGGCUCAACCUUUGAAAGCCGAUGGAUACUGUGGAGCUAGAGUACGGAAGAGGCGAGUGGAAUUCCUGGUGUAGCGGUGGAAUGCGCAGAUAUCAGGAGGAACACCGGUGGCGAAGGCGGGUCUCUGGGCAGUAACUGACGCUGGAGGAGCGAAAAGCGUGGGGAGCGAACAGG